UGGUUCAGAAGGGUGGCAUUUUCAGGGCUUUCUGCUCUCUUCAGGCAUUACUUUUCCUAGUGAACCAGUCAACAUUCCCCUACAGUGGCCCCCAUGCCUUUUUGUUUUUCUAGUAGAAAGUUUUCUACUUUUCUACCAUCUGAGAUGAUCAAGACUGUACCUUCAGUCAUAGACUUGCUCUAAAGUUCCAUAACUCCAAUUUUCUGUGAUAUUUUGCUACUGGACAAUAUUCUC
RNAcentral lists this long non-coding RNA (234 nucleotides) under Bos taurus (domestic cattle). Its description in RNAcentral is "long non-coding RNA NONBTAT023498". Lineage: Eukaryota; Metazoa; Chordata; Mammalia; Artiodactyla; Bovidae. The record is from RNAcentral.